CGCGUAGGCGGCUUGUACAGUCAGACGUGAAAUUCCUGGGCUCAACCUGGGGGCUGCGUUUGAUACGUGCGGGCUUGAGUUCGGAAGAGGGUCGUGGAAUUCCCAGUGUAGAGGUGAAAUUCGUAGAUAUUGGGAAGAACACCGGUGGCGAAGGCGGCGACCUGGUCCGAUACUGACGCUGAGGCGCGAAAGCGUGGGGAGCAAACAGGAUUAGAUACCCUGGUAGUCCACGCCGUAAACGAUGUGCGCUGGAUGUUGGGUGACAUAGUCAUUCAGUGUCGUAGCUAACGCGAUAAGCGCACCGCCUGGGGAUACGGCCGCAAGAUUGAA
RNAcentral lists this ribosomal RNA (330 nucleotides) under uncultured bacterium. RNAcentral's name for it is "bacterial SSU rRNA". It matches the Rfam family "Bacterial small subunit ribosomal RNA", at positions 568 to 898 of the family's 1533-position model. The record is from RNAcentral.